GGUCUUUCAGGGCUGUGUUUUGGAGAUAAAGCCCGCUUUCUUUGACUGGCGGGCUUUAAAAAAAUUGACAUUUCGAUUGUCAAAGAAAAAUAAGAAAAUUCCAUAUUUUUCCUGCUAAAAGUUGUAUCACACGGGAACAGUUCGGAAACAUCCCAGCUUCUUACCCGCUCAAAAAUGAUUGCUUCUCGUCUAUCCGGAGUUGCUCGCAGCACAGCCGUCGUUCAGCGGCGCGGAUUUUCUUCCGCUCUCGGAGGACUUCCGCAGGUCCGCGUUGCGUUGGCCGAAAAAUUGGUUCACGGUGUGGCUAUCUUCUGCGGUCUGUUGGCUUAUCCGGCCUGGGUAAUUACCCACAUGCGCGACUACAAAGAGAAAAAGUAAACACUGUUAAGUUCGAUGAGGCCUGAUUGUCGCCAUUCAGGCGUUCUAACUUCUAAAGUGAAUCGGAUCAGUUUGAUUGUAAGAGGAAAGUUAGAAAAAUGAUUAAGAAUAAAGUGUAAUAAACCGUGUAAAACUA
Long non-coding RNA from Uranotaenia lowii, 514 nucleotides. RefSeq lists it as uncharacterized. The record is from RefSeq and is a predicted model, not a curated record. Lineage: Eukaryota; Metazoa; Arthropoda; Insecta; Diptera; Culicidae. The transcript is spliced from 3 exons.